CACGGGGGUUGGAGGGCAAGUCUGGUGCCAGCAGCCGCGGUAAUUCCAGCUCCAAUAGCGUAUAUUAAAGUUGUUGCAGUUAAAAAGCUCGUAGUUGAAUUUCGGGAUCAAUAUUUCGGUCAUGCCGUUGGUAUGCACUGUUAUCAUUGAUUUCUCACCUUCUAAAGAACCGUAAUGCCAUUAAUUUGGUGUUACGGGGAAUUAGGACUGUUACCUUGAAAAAAUUAGAGUGUUUAAAGCAGGCUCACGCUUGAAUACAUUAGCAUGGAAUAAUGAAAUAGGACAUCCGAUUCUAUUUUGUUGGUUUCUAGGAUCGAUGUAAUGAUUAAUAGGGAUAGUUGGGGGCAUUAGUAUUCAAUUGUCAGAGGUGAAAUUCUUGGAUUUAUUGAAGACUAACUACUGCGAAAGCAUUUGCCAAGGAUGUUUUCAUUAAUCAAGAACGAAAGUUAGGGGAUCGAAGACGAUCAGAUACCGUCGUAGUC
This 482-nucleotide ribosomal RNA is filed under the name uncultured Glomus. RNAcentral describes it as "SSU rRNA". It matches the Rfam family "Eukaryotic small subunit ribosomal RNA", at positions 536 to 1025 of the family's 1831-position model. Lineage: Eukaryota; Fungi; Glomeromycota; Glomeromycetes; Glomerales; Glomeraceae. The record is from RNAcentral.